UUUAGUUUCUUUUCCUGGUUUAUCUGCACAUGUGCAGAUAACCAAGCUGCAAAUUCCCAGCAGAUUUCAGAGGCCACACUUACUUGCUGUGUGCACUAAUCCACAAACACCAUGCCAUGCAGCUCAGUCUGCUACACCAACUCCUUCUGACUCGAGGAAAUCUUGACAAACAACAGGAUAUCCCCAAAGAGGAAGGCAUGGGAGUCAGGAUCUUUCUCACUCCUUCCAAGAAAGAGGAUUAAAAAUGUUGGUGUCUUCCCUCCAUGGUCUUCAGGUACACAUCCUGGUCUGCUCCAAGCUGUCCUCCCGCUGUCCUGGCCCGCUGCUGCACCUUCCAAUACUCAUUUUCUUGUCUGGAAAUGGUAGCUGGACUCAAGUCUUGUCUGAUUUUCAGAAGCAUAUAUCAUUCCUCAAAUAUAAGAUGUACUUCAAACGUGUAUUAGGAGCCAGUGAGCUAAACCUCUGCAAUAUGGAUAAGGUUUACAAUACACUAUUCACCUUCCCUAGAAGAUUCAACACAGGAAUGCAUAACACAAGUGACCAGACCAAGCAUCUGAGAACUUGUGUGUUUUUGAUAUCUCUGAUGAGAAUGGAAAAGCUCUGCAUGUCCUCACUCAUGCAAGUGAGGAAGAGCAACCAUGAACUGCCAUGGAGAAUGAAUCGAUUUGAAGCACAUGAAGAGUGA
This 685-nucleotide long non-coding RNA is filed under the name Zonotrichia albicollis (white-throated sparrow). RNAcentral describes it as "lncRNA (ENSZALG00000016989.1)". The record is from RNAcentral. Lineage: Eukaryota; Metazoa; Chordata; Aves; Passeriformes; Passerellidae.